This is a long non-coding RNA of Oncorhynchus tshawytscha (Chinook salmon), 1861 nucleotides long. NCBI's taxonomy places the organism in Eukaryota, Metazoa, Chordata, Actinopteri, Salmoniformes, Salmonidae. The record is from Ensembl.
UGCCGCUGACAUCAUAGCUCAUCGGUUCCGUGAAGGGGGUCAAUAUUGUCCAGGGCUACAUAAGGCGCCCGCUCAAAGGGACCCUGCAUUCUCUCUGAGGUGAAGGUCACUUUUCUGCUCCACUUCGCUCCAGCCCAGGGUGAGUAGCUUACUGCCCUCAUUCCUCUCUGUUAGAUCUGGAGAGCCGCCACCACCACUUCAGCUGAACGGAGCAGCUCAAGGUAAAACCAUGGCCUUUCUCAUCACCUUGGGACAGAUGCUACUGCUCACAACAGUUAUCUUCCACCACACAGGAUCCCUCCCUCUGUGGGAGAGUAACCAAGGGGAUCUGGAGGGAAUCAUCGGGAGUGAGAUCAGUCAUUUAAACACCCAGUCCCUGUUCGCCAGGAACUAUGUGAAUGCCCUGGUUGAAGCCAGACUGAGAUCGGGCCCACAGACGAGACAGUUGGGAGACAUUGAGUUUUCCAACCGAUACGCUGAGUACUUGAGGUCCAAAGCUAAGCACAGCUCAAUCUGCGCGUUCCUCCGACGCAUGCAGAGUGCUAAGAAAAGUGGGUUAGGAGGAGAUACAGAGAAGGUCAACCUGCUGUUGAAACAGUACAUGUGUCCCAAUGUCUACCACUGGGCAGCUGAGUUAUAACUGGAGGACAACAGGGCUGGAAAUGUGGGAAACGACUGAAGUCUCCAACCUGGACUACUAUGGAAGUCUGACUGCCUAAUGUUACAGUAGUAACCAGUGGGCUGUUUGAACAGUUUAAGAUACUAUUCUAUUAGAUUAGGUUUAAUCAGUCAUGGAAGGUUAUGACAUUUGGAGGUCUCAGAGGGUAAUAAAUAUGGUUUAUUAAUUCGACUAAUCUGUAGUUAUUUGAAUGACUUUAUUCUUCCAGAAGGAACUUCAGUUGUGGCAAGUUGGAUAAGAUAAAUCUAACGAUAUAUAGUGAACAUAUAAACAGCAACAUUCACACAUGACAGAUAUAAACGCUUACAAGGUACGUGCAAGGUAAAUGUAAGUUACACAACUCUAUUUAAUUAAAGAGCUGUGCUCUACAAGACAAACACAAGUCACACGAUUAAAAUGUUCACUUAAAAGAUGUACUGAUAUCGGUACAAAACUGCAGUGGCUCUCUUGGUUUAAAGAGCUAAGAACCCGAGCCUGUGCCCUGAUGGCAGUACCGUAUAUUGGCUGUUCAGUGGAUGUGUAAGAUCCAAAACUAUUUCUUUACCCCUCUUACAUGUGCACUCUUUGUAAAUGUCUCAGAAAGACAGAUAUGGCUAUCUCCUACCUGUACCACCAGUGUCAGUACCACUUUACAAAUAAUGACGUUCAUGAUUAAGCAUUAACAAACUAUUCAUAAAUGUCCUUUAUUACCUGUAAACAUAUGAAAACAUUUAUAAGCAUGAUUAUUUAUAACACUUUUAAAAGUAAUGGCUAAUUUAUGAAAGUUAUAAAAAUAAAAAAACUUUACCCAAGAAUCUAUAGACUGGGUAGGUAAAAUGAUACCUGAACCUGAUACUACACUCUUAGAAAAAAGGGUUCCAAAAGGGUUCUUUGGCUAUCCCACAUAUGAGAACCCUUUUUGGUUACAGGCAGAACUCUUUUGGGUUCCAUGGAGAAAACCUGUGGAAAUGGUUCUACAUGGAACACAAGUGUUCUUCUACCUGGAACCAAAAAGGGUUCUUCAAAGGGUUCUCCUAUGGGGACCUUUUCGGUUUUAGAUGGCACCUUUUUUUCUAAGAGUAUAUAUAAAGACUGUCAUGGACUUACCCUUUUCUUUGUAAAUGUACCUGAUAACAAUUCUGAAAUGUCACAUGAUGUUCCUUCCUUUAUUGUCAUUGUUGUGAAUAAAGAGUACUUGACUAG